GACAAAGGGCAGUGCUUAAGGCAAGCUCCACUUCCUUUGUCAAGCUAACAAAGAAAGUGGAGUUUGCCUUAAGCACAACCCUUUGUCAAGAUUUUU
Molecule: non-coding RNA, 96 nt
Organism: Pelobates cultripes (western spadefoot toad)
Lineage: Eukaryota; Metazoa; Chordata; Amphibia; Anura; Pelobatidae
Source: the annotation of a GenBank genome assembly